UGACUCUAAACACAAAAAAAAAUUAACAUAUAACACGAUACGAGAAGAGGGACGGCAACAAUCCCUUAUCAGGUUGACUAAAGCUGGACAGGCUGAUACAUCUGUGUGAAUACUGGAUCAAGAAAGAGAUGCCGGCGGGUACAGCAAUUGUCGAGGUGGUUUUCUCAAGAAAAAUAAAAGUUUUUCUUGUCAUAUCAACACAUUUCUUACAGUAAUUUUGAGUUUGAGAAGCUAUGGGGGAACUACAGUCUACUCUUAUAUUGAAUUUCAACUGCCAAGGGAUCUUUUACGUGCACACCAAUGUGUACAUGUUUUUCGCCAAAUCCGAACAUCUAUACGUUAUGCCAGGCCAUCUGUUCUGCACCACUGACCAGGUGGCACCACCCCAAAAAAUCCUGAUGAGCUUUCUCGGCCAACACAGGUUCGAACACGGGACCCCCAGGUCUAGCGAGCUGAUGUUCUACUCACUGAGCCACUGCGACUCCCAACAAGAUUAACAUCUAAACCUUUGAUUACCUGCUGUCCUCCUGUUAUAGUAACUGGAUAAUCUAGACUAGUAUUAUCACCACUUUCUUUUACAGUGCCGAACUUUGAUGCCUCGAAAUUAGUGUAGAUUUGACCUCCGUGGUUUUUAAACGAUUCACCGUAAUGUUUCGUAACAACACCCCAAUCAACUAUACCAGUAUGAGGGGAGUGUAUGGCUUUUAAUCCCUGAAAAAAAAAAAAAGUAUUGAUAAUUUCAUAAACAACUUUUAAAGAGAUAUUAUACAAAACCUAAA
Molecule: long non-coding RNA, 779 nt
Organism: Patella vulgata (common limpet)
Lineage: Eukaryota; Metazoa; Mollusca; Gastropoda; Patellidae
Exons: 2
Source: RefSeq, a predicted model, not a curated record